RNAcentral lists this long non-coding RNA (14437 nucleotides) under Fragaria vesca (wild strawberry). Its description in RNAcentral is "long non-coding RNA (FVES_LNC003443)". The record is from RNAcentral. Lineage: Eukaryota; Viridiplantae; Streptophyta; Magnoliopsida; Rosales; Rosaceae.
AUCUCUAUCAUACACCUCAGAGACAAAAAUAUAUGGAAACAGCAUAAUUAAAAAUGGUAUAUUGUACAACAGUCUCUGAAAUAACUCCUGAUCUUACAACCAGAACUCCAAAUGCAAAAACUCACACGGCAGCAGCAAAAGGAUGAUAUCAUAGUCAUAAUGGCUUUGAUCAAAAUCAACAGCAUAUCAAGUAGGUGAACCAUUACACACAAGCCAAAGUCUCUUUAUACAAAUAAUUGUUCUCCUCCACAAGGAAAUCCUGAUCAUUAGUUAACUGGAAAGAUUUGAAGGUCUUACUCUUAAGAUUCCACGAGACGACUUGACCAGGUAUAUGCAGGAAUAGAGAUGAAGAGUCCUCUUCCUCAUUUCCGACUCGAUCAAGAAAGAGAACAAAAUAAACUCCAUAACGGAAGCCCGUACUGAAGGAAGUGCACAAGGGAUCAAGAUCAACAUUGUACUUGACAAACCAGCCAGAAUAGUCUCUUCCCAUCUCCAACACUUCGAACUUAGUAAGACAGGGCUUAUAAAUAUNNNNNNNNNNNNNNNNNNNNNNNNNNNNNNNNNNNNNNNNNNNNNNNNNNNNNNNNNNNNNNNNNNNNNNNNNNNNNNNNNNNNNNNNNNNNNNNNNNNNNNNNNNNNNNNNNNNNNNNNNNNNNNNNNNNNNNNNNNNNNNNNNNNNNNNNNNNNNNNNNNNNNNNNNNNNNNNNNNNNNNNNNNNNNNNNNNNNNNNNNNNNNNNNNNNNNNNNNNNNNNNNNNNNNNNNNNNNNNNNNNNNNNNNNNNNNNNNNNNNAGUAGACACCAUUUUCGUAGUCAAUACGAUGAUUCAUGUUGAAAAUAGAAUCGAGAAGCCUCCAAGUUCGAGUCUCAGACGAAUAUAUCAGUAUUUUGUACUGCUGACAUUCUACUACUCCAUAGAUGGAGUCAAUGCAGAUAACCUUGUAAUGAGGAGAUUUGGAAGGGUCAAAAGCCAAAGAGCACCCCAUGAUGUAGGAUGGUUCUGCUCGCGGAAAUGCGAGUGUCAAGAACUGGUUAGUUGUGGGAUUGAGAACGAAACAUGUGGAUAUACCAGUAUUUUUUUCACCAUGGGGACAACACAAGAAGAGGCCGUUGCAGGAGUGGAUAAUAUCAAUGUGGCCAUAUCGGUUUGCAAUGACACUAAGAGGAUUCCAGCGAGCUGAAAUGAGGUCAUGGCCACUGGGAUCAUGAUCAGGAGGAAUUGAAAUGAAAGAGAAGUUCUUGGAACUGUGACGAAAGACAGCAGAGAUGGAGGAGUUUGGGUUUUGAAGGGUGUGGCGGUGACAAAAUUUGGGGUUUGAGAUAAGAGACAGCCAACGCUUGGAGACACAUUUGAAGCGGAGCAGUGGUUUAGCUGGCACACGCAAAAGGAUUUCGGUAAGGAGUUCUUCUAUGCUGGCUACGGUUUCUGGUAAGGUUUUGCUGGUGGUGGUGCAGGGUUUUAGGUAGAAUCCCUGGCCCAUAUUCGAUCUCUGUAAACAAGGUUUCAUGCUUGCUCGCCUGCCUUCUCUACUAAUCUUUUAUAGCCUACAAUAAACCAACUCCUAAUUAACAAACUAUGAUUCCAUUAAACCAGAUGACCCAAUACACACAACAAUAAACGAUCCACCCUUCUGACCUUUCAACCGGUGGACAUGAAUUUUACCGAUGAAAGGAGAAAAUCAAAAAGCAGUAAAACAAUGGAAGUUCAUAUAGUUUUCGUGAACAAAGUUCAUCUAACUUACUUCCAGUUUACUGGUCGCCAGCGGCGGAUCACGCUGUUGGGGAAUCUCAGGAGCCAAGAUCUGACUGGGGAUGCGGAACUCGUCGACGAGGGGGUUUCCGAAAGUUGGAGUAAGGGAUUUUAUCCGCUUCUCACUUGGGCCACCAAUCAUAAAAAUUAUGAACCCUACUAAGUACUAAGCCUGCUGUUGGGCCUUUUGCUACUCUUUCUCAUGGCUGUCAGGGCUUUCUUCCUUCUAAACUCCUAUUUGUAGCCCAGUUUUCUAUCUCCAGGUUCUAUGGGCUUAUGGCCACGUAUUCUAACAAAUCGCAUGACACAAUUCUUUUUUAUUUUUUGUGGAAUAACGAGAGCUAGAACGGCAGCCCUCACGCUAUAACCAUUAACAAAACCUCAGAAUACAAGAGGGGGGACAUUGUGUCUAACCCCAUAUCGUAAGAACACCCUAAAAAAAUAUUAGGCAUGUCUACAAAUUCUAUGCAUUCUAACAAGCACCAUUUAGCAAAUAGUACAUCAUUAACUACUGCAUUUGCUUUACAAUUUUGGCAACAAACCGGAAUAAUAUUGCUCAUAAAGAGCCAUAAACUAUCAUCUCUAUCAACUUUCCAGCUAUGAUGCCACUGAAAAUUACCAGUAACCUUAAGUUUCCUCCUACCACUAGGAGGCUGCCACCAUUUGCCAAAGCAAAGAACUCACCACCUCAUUAGGGCAAACAUGACACGAUGUGUGCGCUUACUAAGAGAUAGCCCACCAGUAUCCAAAAUAACCAAAAAAUAAUAAGGCAAAAACCAAAAAGAGCACCUACUUGGGCGAAGCCCUCUGUCAGCUAUAAGAAGCUGGUGACUUAUUUCAUCUGCUAACCAAAUUAAAACUAGGAAAGUAAAAAACUUUAACGAAAAUAAUAAUAAAUACCCAAAUUGGGCAUGCAGGCCAAAUCCAGGCCUUGAAACCCACUGCCACAUAGAAGCCCACUAGCCCACCAACUCCGGCCCAAGUCAGCAACUGCACCCUUUUCUCUUUCCCGCCGCCGUGAAGAAGCCCUACCGGUAGAGUGACAGAAGAACCAUUACCUAAAUACAAAUAUCAUUUUCAAUUAUUAAGUCCAUUUAGAAGAGCCCAACCAUUCUCAUGAGAAUUCAAAGGCACAAAAAGAAAGGCUAACUGGCGAAACCGUUACCUAGAAAAAGGAGUUUCCAGUAGCCCAUCAACCUCAUCCAUUUUGACAAUGAAAAAGAAAUUAAAAUUACAAGAAAGCUUUCGGGAGGUUUCAGCUAGGGCUCAAGGCAAAAGAAGUAGAGCUGAUUAUGAACAAAGUAGCAACUCAAAAGGGGUAGCUACUCAAGCUGAAGUUCUGGAAAACUUAUCAACUGGCUUUGGUAAAAUUGUCACCACUUUUGAUACAAUUUUUGGCAUAAUGGAGAAGAGAGAAUCAAGAGACACUGAAUGUUGGAUUGCUAUUCAGGAGACCCUAGGAUUAACUGAUGAGGCUAGCUUUUUUGGGCUUAGUUUUCUUAACACCAAGGCAAAGCAAGACAUCUUCUUGAAGAUGAGUCCGAACCAACGACGUAAUUGGAUCACUUGGGCACGAAUUAAUGCAUCAGGCUAAUAAGCAAUAUGAUAUUGCCUCCUAUAUGCUAUGUCCUAUUAUAAUUUUAAGUCAUGGAGUUUGAUAGUACUGUUUUGUUUGCAUUGCAUCUUGGUUUGAUUGAAUUUAUACUUGUUUUUUAUGGAUUAGAACAGCUUGAUUGUUUCUUUGAAUAAUUAUGGUUUCAUUGAAUUUAUUGCAGCUUGAUGGUUUCUUUGAAUAAUUAUGAGUUCUGGUUUGCUUUUGAAUGUAUAUUAUUAUGAAUAUGAAUAUAUAGUAACCUUGUUCUUUUAAUAUGUUUAGGUGCUUUCUCUAUUAGCAAUGUCUGAAAUGGAUAUGUAUGGAGUUGAUGAAGAGGAAGAAGAGUUUUACGAGGCCAUUAGAAUUUUAUUAAUGGCAAUACAAGCAGUGAUUUAUGUGUUAUAUGAUCUUGUGCUCAGCAUACCAGAUGAAAGUAUUAGACGUCCAUUGACUCGGAGACCAGUGACAUCAAAUGGGUACAUAUACAUGAAUAAGAUACUGGACGGAGACCCUCAUAUCUUUCGGGAGGUUUACAGAAUGUAUCCUGACGUGUUCCGGAAAUUGUGUGUCAUCAUAAAAGAGAAAACACCUUUACGGAAUACAAGACACAUUUGUGUUGAAGAAAUGCUUGCAACCUUUUUACUAGUUGUCGGUCAAAACAAUUGAUAUAGUGAACCUCGAAUGAUAUUCGAGCGAUCCCAUUUCACUGUUAGCAAAAGUUUCAACAAAAUCUUAAAGGCCUUAAAUAUAAUAGCUCCAGAGUUUAUGGCUAAACCACCGUCACCUAAUACCACACCACCAAACAUAAGAGAAAGUACAAGGUUUUAUCCUUUCUUUAAGGUACGCAAUGCAAGUUUUAUUGGCAAAUAUUUACAUCAUUGUACACUAUUGAAAUAUUGUUUCAUUUCUUCUUUACAUCUGAUGUAAAUAUUUUUCCAUUGUCUCAGGAUUGCAUUGGAGCUAUUGAUGGCACACAUAUUCCUGCAACAGUUGUUGGACGUGAGGUAAGCAGAUACAGAAAUCGCCAUGGGAAGAUAUCACAAAAUGUGUUAGCAGCUUGUAACUUUGAUUUACAAUUCAUAUAUGUGCUUAGUGGAUGGGAGGGUUCUGCUCAUGAUUCAAAAGUGUUAAAUGAUGCUAUUUCUAGAAGAAAUGGACUCACGUACCAGCAGGUAUAGUUUUGCGUGCAUGAAAAAACGCAGCAAGCUUAUUAAAUUUUAUAUCAUAUACUAUAUAACAUACUAAUACAUAUGUUUUUUAUGAUCAAGUAAAUAUUACCUAGGGGAUUGCGGAUUUCUAAACCGACGUCAAUUUUUAGCUCCAUUUCGAGGUACUCGAUAUCAUCUCAAAGAUUUUUGUGGUGGUGAAGGAAACCAUCCUGUCAACGCAGUUGAGUUAUUUAAUCUUCGUCAUGCUUCCUUGAGAAACAUAAUUGAGAGAAUAUUAGGAAUAUUUAAGUCACAGUUCACAAUUUUCAAAUCAGCACCACCAUUUCCUUACAAGACACAAGCAGAGCUUGUUUUGGCAUGUGCAGGAUUGCAUAAUUUUCUUCGACAAGAAUGCCGUUCAGAUGAAUUUCCUCCUGAACCAGAAGAUGAUCCGGUAGAGAAUGAAGAAGAUAAUUUUGAAUGGGAUGAUUUUCAAACCCAAGAGCAGCAAAGAGAUAAUGCUAAUCAAUGGAGAAUGAGUGUUGCUAAUCAGAUGUGGGCAGAAGCUCAAGCAAAUGCCAACAAUGUAAACAAUGACAAUGAAGAAAGUAAUCAUGAAGGAGAAGAAUGAUCAUAUCAUUAUUUUAGGACGUCUGCUUUUCAUGUUAAAGAUGCUAAUUAAUGUUUUUUUUCUUUUUCUAAUUUUUGACACGUGUAUCUUUCACUUCUAUUAAUUAUAUUUGGACGUUCUUCUUCUGUUUUAACAUUAUUUACCAAUUUUUUUUUAUCUUGUAAGUAUUGAGAAAUUUGUAGAAGUCGUUCAUAUAAAGUUUGUGGAUUUUCAUAAAUCUGUAGAAAGUCUAUGUUAAAAGUCGAUGAUUUUAAGAAAUCAACAAAAGUCUGUGGACUAUUUAAAGAGUUUGUGGACUAUUUAAACAGUCUAUGGACUAUUUAAAGAGUCUGUGAACUUUUCAAAAAUUCAUAUAAAUCCAGAUACAAUACACCCCCCCCUAAAACUCACAUUAAUUAAAACAUAUAUAGUCAAUCAAAAAGGCCCAACCACAGAAAUCCAACAUCGGGCAACCUAAACUUUAAGAAUACUCACGCUUCCAAAAAUGGUUGAAUUUUUUUCAGCACAUCAACAAGAAGUUUCUGCAGAGAAAAUUGGUGGACAAGCAUGCUCCCUAAAUCAAAAGCAACAUUGCAACAUAGCUCAUUUGCCUAGCUAGCCGACGACCAAAAUCUCGCCACCAGUCAAAUCCCCGCCUCCGUCAUGAAAACAAUUGCACCACACUGCAAAACCUCCGCCAUGAUCUCCACCUACAACGCCGCCCAAACCAGCCUCCCAAGAACUACCUAUGUCUUAGCGAUGCACACUAAUUCGGCGACCCAUGCCUCCACAUUAAUCUCUACUACUAUAAAAUAUAAACUAUAAAGCCAAGCUCUCGAAAACUUCACCAAAUUAUAAAUUGUCUAUAUUACUCAUGUUUAGUUAACUGAGACCACUCAAAACAAGGGUAGUUAUAAGUUAUAACAUGAAGCAACAUAAAAAAACAAAAAUAAAUUUUAUUCAUACAUCCAUAUUUCCUUAAUACACAUCUACUGCUAAAUACACCAUUCAUUUAUUUUUCAUAAACAUGACCACUAGAUACAUUUUCCGCCCCUUAAUUACCACUAGCAAGCUUGCUUUUUAUUAUUACCGCUAGAUACACAUUAUGUCAUUAUCCAUGCAUUUGACGUUAACUAGUAUAUUACAAAAUUCCCCUUGCAUAUUUUUACGAUUUUAUUGAAGGUCAGUAACAUUAAGCCAAUUUUGAUUUUUGUGGGUCAGUAGUAUUAUGCCAUUUUUUAUGCUCAGCAAAAUAACGCCAUUUUUUAGGUCAAUAGCAUUACAACAAUGCUUUGUGGGUGUUUGAAAUUUCAAAACGAACACCCAACAACAUUGAAACUUUAUAUGAGAGAAAAUAAUGUAUAACCGGAAAUUCUUGAAUGUUUAUGAAAUAGACUCGAUCUAAAAUUACUGAGCCUCAGUAGGAUUGUAAACCCAAACUCAUAAACUACUGUUCCUAAACAAAAUCAUACCAAAGGAAUGGUAGUUUUUGACUGCUAAAGAUAAGCAUAUGUUAUUAUUGAAGUGAUUAGAUACAAUGGUAGUUUUUGAUGACCAGAGAUACAGUCCCAUGAUAUUGAUUCUUGAAGGGUAAAAUAUGGUAUAGUCUUUAUAGUUUGAAGUCGACAUAUGUUCAGUCCUUAAAGUUUUAUUUUAAUCUGAAUUGUCCUUAAAGUCACGAUUUUUCUUCCAAAUGGUCAUUCUGUCAAUUUUCUCAAUUAAAUUGCUGACAUGACCAUUUAAAAUAUUGUAUAGUCUUUGCGGUUUGAAGUCGAUAUAUGUUCAGUCAUUUUAGUUUUAUUUUAAUAUGAAUAGUCUUUAAAGUCAUGAUUUUUCAUCCAAUGAUCUUUAAAAACACGAUUUUUCAUCUAAAUGAUCAUUCCGUCAAUUUUCUCAGUUAAAUUGAUGAUGUGACCAUUAAAAAUUACAAUAUCUUUAAUGGCCACGUCAGUAUUCUAACAGAAAAAAAUUGACCGAAAGACUAUUUGAAUGAAAAAUCGUGACUUUAAUAACCAUUCAGAUUAAAAUAAAACCACAAUGAGUGAACAUGUGUUGACUUCAAACCACAAAGGUUAAACAAAUUUCAAUUCGUUCUUGAAUUAUUCAAACCAAAGCAAUGAUAUAAAGUUAUUGCCAAAAUUCAAGUAAGAUAAGUCGAUCUCUCCAUUCAGGAUUGGGACUGUUAUGGUUUUCCUUCUUCAUUUAAGAUUAAGAUUGUUAUGGUUUCCUUCUUCAUUCAAGAUUGGGAUUCUUAUGGUUUUCUUCUUCAUUCAAUAUUGAUUUCCUUUUUCUACUAGGAGUGUGGUUCAUUAAGGGUCUAUAUAUGGCUCAAACCUGCUGCUCUAAAGUUUAGAGAGAUCGAAGAUGGUGCAGAGAGUCUACUCCAAACGCUGCAGCAAAACCUUAGCAGAAACCGUAACCAACAUAGAAGAACUCCUUACCGAAAUCCUUUUGCGUGUGCCAGCUAAACCACUGCUUCGCUUCAAAUGUGUCUCCAAGCAUUGGCUCUCUCUUAUCUCCGACCCCAAAUUUUGUCACCGCCACACCCUACAAAACCCAAACUCCUCCAUCUCUGCUGUCUUUCGUCACAGUUCCAAGAACUUCUCUUUCAUUUCAAUUCCUCCUGAUCAUGAUCCCAGUGGCCAUGACCUCAUUUCAGCUCGCUGGAAUCCUCUUAGUGUCAUUGCAAACCGAUAUGGCCACAUUGAUAUUNNNNNNNNNNNNNNNNNNNNNNNNNNNNNNNNNNNNNNNNNNNNNNNNNNNNNNNNNNNNNNNNNNNNNNNNNNNNNNNNNNNNNNNNNNNNNNNNNNNNNNNNNNNNNNNNNNNNNNNNNNNNNNNNNNNNNNNNNNNNNNNNNNNNNNNNNNNNNNNNNNNNNNNNNNNNNNNNNNNNNNNNNNNNNNNNNNNNNNNNNNNNNNNNNNNNNNNNNNNNNNNNNNNNNNNNNNNNNNNNNNNNNNNNNNNNNNNNNNNNNNNNNNNNNNNNNNNNNNNNNNNNNNNNNNNNNNNNNNNNNNNNNNNNNNNNNNNNNNNNNNNNNNNNNNNNNNNNNNNNNUUUUUUUUCUUUUCUUUUUUUUUUUUGGGGGGUGGGGGUGGGGGGUUCUUGAUGGUUUAUGUAUCAUCUGAUUGAGAGUAAUGGUUUAUGGUUUAUCUCCGGCACUCCUAGUAAAAGAAGGAAACCAUUACAAAACCUGAAUGGAGAAGUUUUGUUUUACUUCUCCCCAUCCUGAAUGGAGAGGUUUUCUGACCUACUAUCUGUCCAUCUUUCGUAUUUAUGUUGUCCAAGGCCUAUGGUAAUCUGUUACUCCUUGGCUGACGUACUAGUGGGAUUGAACACCUAAUUGUAGAGUUAGGUUCUAAUGUUCUGUGUCUCAACAUUUCUAUCUUAGGAACAGCUCUACAAACUCCAAUUCAAAACACCGAAAAGGCUGAAUGAGUAAGAAACCAUUUUGGUGUUGCAAUUAACCAGACUACCCGAGUUAUCUGUUGCAGAAUGCUGAAAAGACUCCACUUAUUGAUCUAACACUACCAAUACCAGAUUAUGGAGGAGGAUCCUGACUGCAUUUUAGUUGCCGGCCUUUACUUUAAGCUACACCAACAACUUUAUGCCAUUUCACAUACACCUGAAGCAUAAGUUCACGAAACAAAGUCUGAAGAUGAUCAAAACCAAUUGCAUCGUCCGAAUUCAGCAAUAAGUCGCUCUUAGUUGUAGAUGAUAUAUAACUGUACUUUCUAUAUUGGCUUAGAAUAUUUAGACCCCCAAAUAUGUAUGUGAAUCAUCAUAGAAAUGCAUGUAUACCGAUAUUGUUCAUCAACUGUAAUUACGCUGCUGAUGUUCGAUGCAUCACAAUGAAGAAAUGCAGACAUUAACAAUCAACAAACAACAUCAUCAUCCAAGUAUUCACAAUCUACUUCAUGAAUAUUGUUUCUAAGUCGUAUCGUUUCAUUUCAAGUAAUGAAAUCUAUUUGCUUUAACAGAGACUCACAUUUCAGACAUAUACAGCUACAGUCAGCUCUCACAUCUGGCAGCAAAUCAUGCAAAUAUUAAAAACAAAACACCAAUCUCUUGAACAACUCAAAUGGUAUCUUGCAUCCUCGCCAAGCAGGGCUUUAAUACUAGUUAUCACUAUAUCUGAUAUUUUGCUAUCCUUACAAUUGAACAUGCAUCGUCAUAGUUUCAAAGGAGCUACACAUCAAAAUACAGCAUGCAACUUUUGCUCCUCCAAGUCUCUUAUCUUUCCUUCAUUAACUGCAAAUAAAAACCAAUAAAGCCAUCAGCAAACAUAUACUAAAUAUCAUUACUGAAGUACUGCAAAUAAAUCAAAGUUUCCAUCCCUUACUCUAUCAUAAUCUAAAUCACACGAAAAACCUACAAUCCUGUCCACUCCACAGUAUCUGAUUGAUCCAAAAAGCCACCUGAGUGUGGAUAAAUUUUUAACACUUAUUGCUUAUGCUGAAGUAGCCGCGCACACACUUAAGUGAGUGUCUCAACCAAAACGGGUUGCACAUUCGAAAGUAUUAGUUUUAUAAAUGACAGACUUGUCUGACUAAAUGGAACACCACAUGUCAUACCAAAAUUCCACAAGGUUAAGGUAACAAAAAUCACAUUUAAUUGACUGAUAACAAACAUGUCACAAUCAAGGUUAAGGUAAUGUCCUCAAUUCACAAAACAACUUUCUACAAACGGGCAGAGACAAACCUAAGUUCUUACAUUUAAAUCCAGGCGAAUACAAGAAUCUACACAAAUCAUAAAUAGCUGAAAAAGGAAUGGAAGUCUCGGCAGUGGCUUACCAAAAGUGCUGUAUAAAGCGCCCCCCUAAGCAUUGGGUGGUAUGUCUCUCUGUGACAUAAAACAAGGAAAGGACCAAAUGUAUAAGAGAUGACACAACCAAACAGAUGUAUAACGGAAGCACACCAAGCUGAAAUGAAGAUUAAAGGUCAGAAUUAAGAAAGUACCUGCUCUCUGAUCAUUUUGAUUACCCUUGGUCCAACCGGAACGGCUUUGUACUUUGAAACUCGUUCAUUGGUGUCCAUAGGCACAGCAGGUGGAGACACAUCCAAUUUGUACUCAGCUACUAGCUGCCACAGCAGACCAUCAUGAUGCAUCUUGAAACCAACAAUGUUACUGUCAUUGUGCAGGAAAAACAAAUGUUGGUUGUCUUCACCCUUGGAGAUGCCGGCAACGGGGAACAGACUACUUGUGGCACUAGAGAGAGCCGGUUGAAAGCACGAGUGUUCUGUGAGUCGCCAUUUGUGGACCGUUGUCAUGUCCACAAGGGUGUCCACAUUCAUAUCCAAAGUAUAUAAAUCGACAGUAAAUUGACCAGUAGAGGAAAAUCGAUGUCUGCACGCUAUGAUUGCUCCAUCACAACCAGAACCAAAACUCAGCUUGCUAAUAUUAUAGUGAAAAUCAGCAGGAACCAGAAUAGUGUGGAGGUCGUUUGUGUUGAGAUCGAAAGCUAACAGGUGCUGCAUACGCCGGAUGUUGACUUUCCAAAAGAGAUAACCAUGUUUCCUCGACAUAUAAGCUGGCUCCAGCAAUGGGUAAUACAGGGACAAGGAUGGAAAGACUACCUCAAACCACUCUCCUCGUCUACUGUCGUACAUAUCCAAAUAUGUGGGAGGCCUCUCUGUUUCAGCCUCUGUAAACAAGAGGGGAAAUCGUACAAUCUUGAAAGAAGAACCGCUUGCGGUAUGUCCAAACCCAUAAGCGGCCUCAUUUGAAUAAUAUGCCCGAGGCGCAGCAGCACCUACAUCUGGAAUCCUCUGUUCCACCACCUCUGUUUGCACAUCACACACAUAAAAGAUGCUUCUGAUUGGGUCUCUGAAACAGAGCUUACCCAAGGAUUGACCCACCAUUAGAACCCGAUCAGGAAACGGGAGUGUGGUAAGCUCUUGAACUGUAGGAUUGACAUCUCCGUUGUCGUGACUAGGCCCCGGGAGAAACACCAUCUUGGGAGGGGCCGCUGGAUUGCGGUAAUGUAUGUAAAUUCGUUCUUCUGCAGCCACCAAGCUACCAGCUUUGUUCAUCUGCAGCCUCUCGGGGUGCUCGAUCAGCAGCCGUGUCUCCUCCACGUUGAGAUUAAGUGGGUUUCUUGGUGAACCCAUCCCUAAUCAGAAGAAGAAUUGGGGUUUCAAAUCUUAUGCCCAAAGAAACCCUAAAUCAGAAUUGGGGUUUCUCAAGAAUCGAACCGAAAUAGGCAUCAAAUUCCACAAAUCAACACUAUACUACUCAAAAAGCAUGAACCAAUUCCACAGAUUACAAGUCUAUGUCAAUAGAUUCAGAAACGCUUUAGUUUUUCACACAAGGCUAAAAUCAGCAUGCGAUCUUCCUUCAUAUAAACCCUAAACCCAACCCACAAGACAAAUUCGAAUUCAAUUUAAGCUUUCUCUCUCCAUAAACCCUAGCGCUCCGUUUUGAUUUCUUAAAGAAAACACAAGAAACUCAGAAAACAAAAACCUCAGCCGUUCGGAGCUGGAAAAUCUCCUGCAUUUCCUUCCCGGUGGCUUACGCUUUAGCUUCUUCUAUAUUUCCUUCACCGGAGCUUUUCCGGCGAACCGAACAGAGCCUAAGUCUAGCAAAGCGUAACCAAAACAACGGAGAGAGAGAGAGAGAGAGAGAGAGAGACUUACGUGUGUGAGCGGAGAGUCGGGGGAGCCGGUCAGCCGGAGACGGAAUUUGAGAGAGAAUUCCGGGAGCGACGACGUCGUUCUCAGAUUGUAGAAAAGAGCUGCGUGUAUUAAUCCUAUGAGUCCUAUCUGUGCAUGUUUGGUGCAUGGAAUUAUAUACUAUUGUACUAGAUCAGAGAGGUACUAAGUGGUUUACACAAAAAUGCAAACAAGUUUCGGUUUUUAAUACGAUCUGAUACGUAGAAAUAUUAAAUUAAAAUAUAGUCUGAUACGAAAUAAUUAAAAAAUGUUAAAAAAUUUAAUAUAAAUAUUAUUUAUAUUACAUAUAAAUAUAAUUAAAAUAAUAAUAAUGAGAAUUAAAUGACUAUAUAUUUAAAAUAAUAGUUAAAUAUUUAGUUUAACCAUUAUUUUAAAUAUUAUUGGUUGAAGAAGGAAGAAGCCUUCCCUGUUUUCUCCCCCCUCCCCCUGUAAUUUGCCCAUCGCAAUCGAUCAAACUCAAUAUUCCGUUCUUCCGUCUUCUUCAUUCGUUCUUCUACCACAUUAACCCAAAUCUUUCAGACUACUUCUAGAAUCCAAAUCCUCCACCCAAUUCCAGAACUAUGCAAUUCCAAUCAAUACCCAUCUAAGCAAGCAACAAAACAUCCAAUACCCAAUUCUCAAAAUAUGUUCUUUCGUUGAUUCAUUCAAGCAAUCAAGCACAUAAACAAUCAGAUAACAGAGAAAUAUGGUAAGAAAUCUAGCACCUUUAUCAAUUAGCUUACAUGAAUCCUAGAAAUUUUGUCCCUUCCUUCCCAGCUAGCAAUCUAUUCAAAGAGAAUCAGAAAGUUGUUCCUGGCAGCUUUCAAUCUAGAGAAGCUUCUUUCGUCUCUGCGUAAUGAGAUAUCUCAGUCUCAUCUCUUUGUCUUAAUCUUUCUCAAGCUCGACCAACGACAAGUACAAAAGUUUCCAUUUUAGAGGAAACGUGUUUCCCUCGCGUUUCAUAAAUCACUUUUUAUGGAAACGCGUUUCGGAUGCGUUUCGAAUCAAAAACGUUUCUAAAACGCGAAACGGCUAUCUUUCGACGUUUCCGUGCAACAUAGGGUUUGACCUAUGUUUGGUGAGAGGGAGGACAACAAUAACUGGUACUACUUAGCACCUGUUUUUUGCUCUCAGCCUCCUUAGCUGGUGCUAUUCUGGGUACUCAUUUUUGGGUUCUCAAGUUAACACGGUCUCUCUCCUCUUUUCAGUCUUGGUCUCUUUCUUUAGAUUUAUUGGUCCAUUCUCUCUUUCAUCUCUUUCUCUCUCUCUCAAGUAUUCUCCAGAUCCAUUGUUGCCAGACAACUGAGUAUUUUCCAACUUUGUGAAACUCUGUUGCAGAAUGCUGAAAGGACUCCACUUACUGAUCUAACACUAUCCACUUACUGAUCUAACACUACCAGAUAACCAGACUAUAGAGGAGGAUCCUGACUGCAUUGUAAUUGCCGGCCUUUACUUUAAGCUACACCAACAACUUUUAUGCCAUUUCACAAAUACACCUGAAGCAUAAGUUCACGAAACAAAGUUUGAAAAUGAUCCAAACCAAUUGCAUCAUCCAAUUUCAGCAAGUCCGUCUUAAUUGAAGAAAAGAGCAAAAGCAACUAACAGCCAUGACAAUGAUGUCGUGGGUUUGGUUUAGUUGUAGAUGAUAUAGAACUGUAUUUUCUACAUUGGCAAAGAAUCAUUAGACCCCCAAGGCCCCAACUAUGUAUAUGUUAACUACUAUAGAAAUGCAUGUAUACUGAUAUUGUGUGAUUACACUGCUGAUGAUCGAUGUAUCUCAACGAAGAAAUGCAGACAUUAACAAUCAACAAACAACAUCAUGUUAGAAUGGACUUAACAUUAUAAGUCCUAAGGCAUGACAACUUCCAUAGAAUAACAGAAUGAACAUUAUGAGAUUAUUAAUUGCAUUAUCAUGAUAUGUUUAUCUAAACGAAAUGGUUAGAUAAACAAUGAAAUACAUUUGAAUUAUCUUGUAUAACAAGAUAAUAGAGAUAGGCUAAUAUUGUGGUAUUUGUGUGGAACUCAAACUCUUUGACGAUUAAGAGUUUGAGCUAUCCAAAAUGCAAUAUAAAAGGGGUCCUUGUGCACACUCUAACUUACGCCAAAAACUAUUCUCUCUCCAUCAGAGCUUUGGUACUUGAGUGCUGCGCAAAAGAUCUCUUUUGGAAGCUUCUACUCACCUCUCUUCAUCCCGAUGGCUGCCCUCAACAUUGAGCAAGGUACUACUUUUGUUCCUUGAGUAUAUAUAUCAGUACAUGUAUGUAUAUGUUGAUGUAUGUCGGAUGCCAUGAUCUCUGAUCUUGUUUAUGCACAUGUGUUUAUGUGAAGUGUUUUGUCUCUGUGGUGUUAGUCUAAGACAUCAUCAUCAUCUCUAUCAUACACCUCAGAGACAAAAAGUUAUGGAAACAGCGCUGGAAUCACGUCAUUACAAAUAAAUAAUAAUUAAAAUGGUAUAUUGUACAACAGCCUCUGAAAUAACUCCUGAUCUGACAACCAGAACUCCAAAUGCAAAAACUCACACGGCAGCAGCAAAAGGAUGAUAUCAUAGUCAUAAUGGCUUUGAUCAAAAUCAACAGCAUAUCAAGUAGGUGAACCAUUACACACAAGCCAAAGUCUCUUUAUACAAAUAAUUGUUCUCCUCCACAAGGAAAUGCUGAUCAUUAGUUAACUGGAAAGAUUUGAAGGUCUUAC